This is a long non-coding RNA of Sapajus apella (tufted capuchin), 453 nucleotides long. RefSeq lists it as uncharacterized. The transcript is spliced from 3 exons. Lineage: Eukaryota; Metazoa; Chordata; Mammalia; Primates; Cebidae. The record is from RefSeq and is a predicted model, not a curated record.
UAAUUAUAUUCUAAAGCAUACCAAGCCCUUCGUGUUUGCUGCUGGAGUGACUGUGUGCUGCUUUGCCCUUAGAUGAAGCAAUGCUUUCAUAACUUCUGAAGAUGCCUGAAUGGUCUAAGGUGACACACAUAAUUCAUCACCUCCUUCAUCUUACUGCAUUCAUUCGCUGAUUUACCACGUCUUCCUGUGAGCUCCGAGAGCAGGUUCUGUGAUAACUUCUAAAAUAGCACGGAACAGGAGUAGGAGAACUGUGGAAAAAAAACAUCGUUAAACUGAAAUUUCUUGACGCCGCCAGCUGAAGCAGUGUGGCAACAGGAAGGACUAGAACGUUAACAAGGUAUUUUAUUUUUAAAAUUUUGAUGAGCAUCAGAAAGAAAUCAACUUGGAUAAUGAAAGUUUCUUUUUUCUUUGCCUAAUUUUUCCUUGUAAAUAUUUAGAUACUAUUGGCCAGAU